RNAcentral lists this unclassified non-coding RNA (253 nucleotides) under uncultured Rhodospirillales bacterium. RNAcentral describes it as "contains 16S-23S intergenic spacer region". It matches the Rfam family "Bacterial small subunit ribosomal RNA", at positions 524 to 776 of the family's 1533-position model. Lineage: Bacteria; Pseudomonadati; Pseudomonadota; Alphaproteobacteria; Rhodospirillales. The record is from RNAcentral.
UACGAAGGGGGCUAGCGUUGUUCGGAAUUACUGGGCGUAAAGAGCGCGUAGGCGGAUCGGCCAGUCAGGGGUGAAAUCCCGGGGCUCAACCUCGGAACUGCCUUUGAUACUGCCGGUCUAGAGUCUGUGAGAGGGUGGCGGAAUACCCAGUGUAGAGGUGAAAUUCGUAGAUAUUGGGUAGAACACCAGUGGCGAAGGCGGCCACCUGGCGCAGAACUGACGCUGAGGCGCGAAAGCGUGGGGAGCAAACAGG